RNAcentral lists this ribosomal RNA (301 nucleotides) under uncultured bacterium. RNAcentral describes it as "partial 16S ribosomal RNA". It matches the Rfam family "Bacterial small subunit ribosomal RNA", at positions 509 to 807 of the family's 1533-position model. The record is from RNAcentral.
CAGUAGCCGCGGUAAUACGAAGGGGGCUAGCGUUGUUCGGAUUUACUGGGCGUAAAGCGCACGUAGGCGGACUUUUAAGUCAGGGGUGAAAUCCCGGGGCUCAACCCCGGAACUGCCUUUGAUACUGGAAGUCUUGAGUAUGGUAGAGGUGAGUGGAAUUCCGAGUGUAGAGGUGAAAUUCGUAGAUAUUCGGAGGAACACCAGUGGCGAAGGCGGCUCACUGGACCAUUACUGACGCUGAGGUGCGAAAGCGUGGGGAGCAAACAGGAUUAGAUACCCCGGUAGUCCCUGUCUCUUAUAC